CCUGAGUACGACGGAGCACGUGAAAUUCCGUCGGAAUCUGGGAGGACCAUCUCCUAAGGCUAAAUACUCUCUAGUGACCGAUAGUGAACCAGUACCGUGAGGGAAAGGUGAAAAGUACCCCGGAAGGGGAGUGAAAGAGAACUUGAAACCGUGUGCUUACAAGUAGUCAGAGCCCGUUAAUGGGUGAUGGCGUGCCUUUUGUAGAAUGAACCGGCGAGUUACGAUCUGAUGCAAGGUUAAGCAGAAAAUGUGGAGCCGUAGCGAAAGCGAGUCUGAAUAGGGCGAAUGAGUAUUUGGUCGUAGACCCGAAACCAGGUGAUCUACCCUUGGUCAGGUUGAAGUUCAGGUAACACUGAAUGGAGGACCGAACCGACUUACGUUGAAAAGUGAGCGGAUGAACUGAGGGUAGCGGAGAAAUUCCAAUCGAACUUGGAGAUAGCUGGUUCUCUCCGAAAUAGCUUUAGGGCUAGCCUCAAGUGAUGAUUAUUGGAGGUAGAGCACUGUUUGGACGAGGGGCCCCUCUCGGGUUACCGAAUUCAGACAAACUCCGAAUGCCAAAUAAUUUAACUUGGGAGUCAGAAUGUGGGUGAUAAGGUCCAUAUUCGAAAGGGAAACAGCCCAGACCACCAGCUAAGGUCCCAAAAUAUAUGUUAAGUGGAAAAGGAUGUGGCGUUGCCCAGACAACUAGGAUGUUGGCUUAGAAGCAGCCAUCAUUUAAAGAGUGCGUAAUAGCUCACUAGUCGAGUGACACUGCGCCGAAAAUGUACCGGGGCUAAACAUAUUACCGAAGCUGUGGAUUGUCCUUUGGACAAUGGUAGGAGAGCGUUCUAAGGGCGUUGAAGCAUGAUCGCAAGGACAUGUGGAGCGCUUAGAAGUGAGAAUGCCGGUGUGAGUAGCGAAAGACGGGUGAGAAUCCCGUCCACCGAUUGACUAAGGUUUCCAGAGGAAGGCUCGUCCGCUCUGGGUUAGUCGGGUCCUAAGCUGAGGCCGACAGGCGUAGGCGAUGGAUAACAGGUUGAUAUUCCUGUACCACCAUUAUUCGUUUUAAGCGAUGGGGGGACGCAGUAGGAUAGGCGAAGCGUGCUGUUGGAGUGCACGUCCAAGCAGUGAGAUUGAGUGUUAGGCAAAUCCGGCACUCUUAAGAUUGAGCUGUGAUGGGGAGAGGAACUUGUUCCUCGAGUCGUUGAUUUCACACUGCCGAGAAAAGCCUCUAGCUAGAAUAACGGUGC
Molecule: ribosomal RNA, 1229 nt
Filed under: Staphylococcus pseudintermedius
Lineage: Bacteria; Bacillati; Bacillota; Bacilli; Caryophanales; Staphylococcaceae
Description: partial 23S ribosomal RNA
Rfam family: Bacterial large subunit ribosomal RNA
Source: RNAcentral